This 36-nucleotide ribosomal RNA is filed under the name Armillaria ostoyae. RNAcentral describes it as "partial 28S ribosomal RNA". The record is from RNAcentral. Lineage: Eukaryota; Fungi; Basidiomycota; Agaricomycetes; Agaricales; Physalacriaceae.
GACCUCAAAUCAGGUARGACUACCCGCUGAACUUAA